This 1238-nucleotide long non-coding RNA is filed under the name Homo sapiens (human). Its description in RNAcentral is "small nucleolar RNA host gene 17". The record is from RNAcentral. Lineage: Eukaryota; Metazoa; Chordata; Mammalia; Primates; Hominidae.
GUCUGUAUUUCCGCCGGCGCGAAACGAGCGUAGCUUCCUUGUCGUGUGGCCUCAGUCCUUCGCCGUCCCUCGCCGUCCUUCGCCAUCGCACGCCACCGCACCCCAUCUCUCGAAAUCUGCAGACAUCUUGAUUUUUCCCACGCUGUCUGUCAGGUCUCCGCCGCCACUCGACGCCAGGGCGCCGGGCCUUGUGGGCUGUGCUGCACCUCGGACGGCUUCGCACCAGCCAGCGCCCUCUCUCUCCUGCAGCACUCUGAUCUGCACCCCCUGAGGGGCUUCCACUGUCCGCGGGGUGAGAAUGCCCCUGGGAGUGUCACAUGACUGCCGCCCCAUGUGUGUGAGAGGCGUCCUCUGGGAGAGCAUGGAUCCUGAGGUCCCAGGAUUGUCAGCUGACCUCUGUCCUGUGUGCCCAGUGGCCCCAGGUGACGUGUCUUCAAGAAGAGGCUGAGCUGCGGUGCUUGUAAGGGUCUCAUUCUGUCACCCAGGCUGGAGUGCAGUGGUGCAAUGAUGGCUCACUGCAGCCUCGACCUGGGCUCAAGUGAUCCUCCACCUCAGCUUCCUGAGUAGCUGGGACCACAGAGUCAUGUGCUGUUCCUGGGGCUUGGAUGAUGUAGGGGAAGCAAGGUGAAAGUGGUAUCCCGUGGUUCCACGUUCUGUCCUGCUGUGGGGCUGUCCCUCACAUGCUUUCAGUGGCUGUUGCAGAGGAAGAGCCUCCGGAAAUCUGCGUGGGUAAAGUCUCAGCCUUAGAUCCAAGGACAGUCCAAGGAAGUCCUAAGACCAUGGAGUUGGUGAUCUGGGAUCUGGGUUUGCUGAUAUUUCUCACCGUGAAUCUCUUGGUGGUGUUUGUGGGCACGAGAGGGGCAGAGAAUGGAGAGUGAGGCUACCACAUGAAGCGUCACCAGAGCUGCUCCCUGCUGCCUGCUCAGAGCACCCCGGAUCCACUGUUCAAUCUGCACAAGAUUCGGGGUCCAGACAUGGGAGACUUCAGCUGCCUCAGAGGACCGUGGACAGGGAAGGCCAGCCUCGCAUCCCUCUGUCCAUGCCUGGAAUGACUUUAAUAACCAAGAGUUUUAUUUUUGAAUUUGUAGCUGUCGUUCACUUUUUACCCACCCAUUCAAUAAACCUUACAGAAUUGCUCCAUGUGCUUCUUAAAUCAGUGACAACCUGUGAGCCUGCCAGGCUGGCUUUGGAGAAGAGGGAGGAAUCUACACAUGUCCCAGGGGCCAUGGUGAAAAGGU